GGGGAAUUAGCUCAGUUGGCUAGAGCGCUUGCUUUGCACGCAGGAGGUCAUCGGUUCGACCCCGAUAUUCUCCA
Molecule: transfer RNA, 74 nt
Filed under: Blattabacterium cuenoti BPAA
Lineage: Bacteria; Pseudomonadati; Bacteroidota; Flavobacteriia; Flavobacteriales; Blattabacteriaceae
Also listed under: 1 other name
Description: tRNA-Ala (TGC) (tRNA-Ala-TGC-1-1)
Rfam family: tRNA
About the family: Transfer RNA (tRNA) molecules are approximately 80 nucleotides in length.
Source: RNAcentral